ACGAACGCUGGCGGCGUGCUUAACACAUGCAAGUCGCACGGAAAGGCCCUGCUUUUGUGGGGUGCUCGAGUGGCGAACGGGUGAGUAACACGUGAGUAACCUGCCCUUGACUUUGGGAUAACUUCAGGAAACUGGGGCUAAUACCGGAUAGGAGCUCCUGCUGCAUGGUGGGGGUUGGAAAGUUUCGGCGGUUGGGGUUGGACUCGCGGCUUAUCAGCUUGUUGGUGGGGUAGUGGCUUACCAAGGCUUUGACGGGUAGCCGGCCUGAGAGGGUGACCGGCCACAUUGGGACUGAGAUACGGCCCAGACUCCUACGGGAGGCAGCAGUGGGGAAUAUUGCACAAUGGGCGGAAGCCUGAUGCAGCAACGCCGCGUGCGGGAUGACGGCCUUCGGGUUGUAAACCGCUUUCGCCUGUGACGAAGCGUGAGUGACGGUAAUGGGUAAAGAAGCACCGGCUAACUACGUG
RNAcentral lists this ribosomal RNA (467 nucleotides) under uncultured bacterium. Its description in RNAcentral is "partial 16S ribosomal RNA". It matches the Rfam family "Bacterial small subunit ribosomal RNA", at positions 29 to 507 of the family's 1533-position model. The record is from RNAcentral.